Molecule: long non-coding RNA, 999 nt
Organism: Fukomys damarensis (Damara mole-rat)
Lineage: Eukaryota; Metazoa; Chordata; Mammalia; Rodentia; Bathyergidae
Exons: 3
Source: RefSeq, a predicted model, not a curated record
CUCUAUGGAUCAGCUGGGCUGAGGGGAGGAGCUCCAGUAGCAAAGAAACAAAACACCCACAAGAUCAAAGGUGAGCUUGAGGAGUUCCCUGAAUCAGGACCCCAGAACUAAUUAGAAAGCCAGACUCUGGGAGUAAAAGCAAAUAUGAAGUGUCCCUGACAGAGGGGACACAGGAGAAGGGCACAGAACCGCUGAGAUUCCUCAGAGUCUUCUUGGGGUUGGGAUGUGUCCUCGCUGUCACAAAGGAGAAUGCAACGCUCGGCAGAGAUCCAAAGGGGAGUGGUGUUUUUAAAGGUGGGAGAGAGAAGAAGGCAAACCCACAGCCAAAGGCCUAAUCUGACAACAGCUGGUCAGCAGGAUUCGGUUUGUGCUGCGGGACGCUUUCGUGUGGCUCCGAGGACAUUGACAACUGGGGCCACUUUAAGAACAACAGAAGAAAUUCCGCCCUCUCAUUCUGUAAUCAGGAGUCAUUUUAAACUUCACAUGGAAUCUCUGGGUUUAACCAUUAACCUUGGUUUCAACUGAGUUCGAGCCGCUUUCCUUAGAGCCAAGCGCAUCCACAAAUGUUCAGAACUGAGAAUGUUUGGAAGGACCACGCAGAGGACGAGGACACCCUUUCCAUUCAGGAAGAGAGAGCUGGGAAGUCUGGAACAAUGGCGACAGCCUUUUCGCCAGUCUGUGGGCCUCUGCUGAAGAAGAGAGAAAUGUAAAAGUAUCCGUUGCUCUCUGUCCAAGUCUCGUCGGAUGGACAGCGUGGAGACCAUUUAAAAAUGAAAUAGAGAUUGAAAAAAAAAGGGUAAAAUAAAGUCAUGGGUCAUAGACUGUGGAUUCUGCAAAGGGCCCAGGACCUCAGGAGUAUCCACCCUGGCUCCUGGAUGGCUCCAGACCCUGACAACCAACCCCAAGAGGCCUCAAAUCAGGCUGGGCGGGGAACCCAGUCCCUCACCACUGAGCUCCGCCCUGUUCCAAUUCUCCACUCCUGAUGCACUUGGCUUGUGG